Molecule: long non-coding RNA, 200 nt
Filed under: Elaeis guineensis (African oil palm)
Lineage: Eukaryota; Viridiplantae; Streptophyta; Magnoliopsida; Arecales; Arecaceae
Description: long non-coding RNA (EGUI_LNC068146)
Source: RNAcentral
GGGGUUGUAGAGCUAAAAAAUUUGGAUAUCCAUGUUUAAUUAUAGUAUUAUGAAAUUGAGAUAUAAUGGAUCUUUAUAUUAUCUAAUGAUUUCAAUGCUAUAGAUGGUUCGCAUAUGAUUGUGAUCGACUAUAAUUAAUCGCAUGUUUUUAUACUGAUCAGAUUGAUAUCACAUAUUAUAUGAUACAUUUAAGUUAUAUA